RNAcentral lists this ribosomal RNA (431 nucleotides) under uncultured bacterium. RNAcentral describes it as "partial 16S ribosomal RNA". It matches the Rfam family "Bacterial small subunit ribosomal RNA", at positions 29 to 507 of the family's 1533-position model. The record is from RNAcentral.
AACGAACGCUGGCGGCAGGCUUAACACAUGCAAGUCGAGCGCCCCGCCAGGGGAGCGGCAGCCGGGUGAGUAACGCGUGGGAACGUACCUUUUGGUUCGGAACAACUCCGGGAAACUGGAGCUAAUACCGGAUAAGCCCUAACGGGGAAAGAUUUAUCGCCGAAAGAUCGGCCCGCGUCUGAUUAGCUAGUUGGUGAGGUAACGGCUCACCAAGGCGACGACCAGUAGCUGGUCUGAGAGGAUGAUCAGCCACACUGGGACUGAGACACGGCCCAGACUCCUACGGGAGGCAGCAGUGGGGAAUAUUGGACAAUGGGCGCAAGCCUGAUCCAGCCAUGCCGCGUGAGUGAUGAAGGCCUUAGGGUUGUAAAGCUCUUUUGUCCGGGAAGAUAAUGACUGUACCGGAAGAAUAAGCCCCGGCUAACUUCGUG